RNAcentral lists this transfer RNA (74 nucleotides) under Amborella trichopoda. Lineage: Eukaryota; Viridiplantae; Streptophyta; Magnoliopsida; Amborellales; Amborellaceae. The record is from Rfam by way of RNAcentral.
GGUGUUGUGGUGUAGUCGGUUAUUACGUUCAUCUUACACAUUAAAGAUCCCUAGUUCGAACUUGGGCAGCACGU